RNAcentral lists this ribosomal RNA (253 nucleotides) under uncultured bacterium. RNAcentral describes it as "partial 16S ribosomal RNA". It matches the Rfam family "Bacterial small subunit ribosomal RNA", at positions 524 to 776 of the family's 1533-position model. The record is from RNAcentral.
UACGUAGGGUGCAAGCGUUGUCCGGAAUUAUUGGGCGUAAAGAGCUCGUAGGCGGCUUGUCACGUCGACUGUGAAAACCCGGGGCUCAACUCCGGGCCUGCAGUCGAUACGGGCUGGCUUGAGUGCGGUAGGGGAGACUGGAAUUCCUGGUGUAGCGGUGAAAUGCGCAGAUAUCAGGAGGAACACCGGUGGCGAAGGCGGGACUCUGGGCCGAUACUGACGCUGAGGAGCGAAAGCGUGGGGAGCAAACAGG